Molecule: transfer RNA, 73 nt
Filed under: Camelus bactrianus (Bactrian camel)
Lineage: Eukaryota; Metazoa; Chordata; Mammalia; Artiodactyla; Camelidae
Also listed under: 1 other name
Rfam family: tRNA
About the family: Transfer RNA (tRNA) molecules are approximately 80 nucleotides in length.
Source: Rfam by way of RNAcentral
GAGGGUAACUGCUCAGUGGUAGAGCGUGUGCUUAGCAUGCACAACAUCCUGGGUUAAAUCUCCAGUACCUCCA